GGGCUGCGAUAGGUUUUUGUUUUCUUUUGUUUUCAGCAUACCUUUGUGUUCCCCAGUCAGAGGAAGGUGAUUUGUACCUGAUAGAUUCUUGGCAAAUAUUGGUUGAUUUGAACCAAAUUGAUACACCUAAAUUGUAUGGGAAAACUCCAUCAUGUGAACUGUUAAUUUCAUAACAUGAUUUUAACAUCAUUGAGGAGGUCUUCACAUAUCUCAAAUAGCGGUUCUCUGCCUUCAGGACAUGUGAGAAUCACCUGUCAUCUGCUUUAUUUUGUGUAAAUAGUGUGGAAACAUGAUUUUCAGCAUGGCUAGCAAAGCAUGUAUGGACAAGUUUGUAAGAGCGUAUUUAUACACCACCCCAGGCAUGUCUUUGUGGAUCUGAGACUACUUGUGAAUUUGCACAAACCCUACAGCAGAGAACUAUGA
Molecule: long non-coding RNA, 423 nt
Filed under: Felis catus (domestic cat)
Lineage: Eukaryota; Metazoa; Chordata; Mammalia; Carnivora; Felidae
Description: lncRNA (ENSFCAG00000040877.2)
Source: RNAcentral